CUGCACAGCACUGGCUGACAACUGCUGUCCAGCGCGCUCCACGCCUGACUGUGAGGGGGAAUCGCUUGGGAGCACCCGUCACAUGCCCAGAGAUUGCCUUCCGAGGCUUUCUGGAGUACCGUGUGCCGUGUGCCGCAGGGAGGCUCAGGGCUCCUCCUUUAUUCUAGCCUGUUUCCAGCAACCCCCAGGGCAACGUCCUGACUCUUCUGUGUGCGUCUGCAGAGCUCUCCUCCUGCGGCUUCCUGCAUCUGCAAGCUUGUUCUGAAGGCCGAGAGGUCUAAGUGCGUCACCGUGUGCAUGGUCCUUUAACCCUUCGUGUCCUGCGCCGGGAUUGAAGCCUGAGAAGGAAGGCAAAUCAAACGGAUACAACAGCUGGCAUAAGCAAUGAUAAUCAUAAAAGAGGACUUCCAGAACUGCUUCAGAAAGUGGCAAAGAAGACGGAGGAGCUUGAAGUGUGUGUUGGGGUUAAAACAUCUGAAAGCCCAUGUUUGCAGUACAUGCUCCGUGCCAUGUGAAAGUGUUCCCAGCACAUGCUCCAUGCUGCCGUACCUCUGGAAGGCUUGGUUCUGGUUCCCAACCCCUCCUCUACCUCAUCCCACCCCACACUCACAGAAGUGCUUCUCUUGGAGGCUCCGUUUCACUCAGCCGGCCGGGCAAAGCCAUCACCCUUCAGUGCCUGCUGCCACGAGUCCAGCCCCAGGGUGCUCUCGGGUCCUCUGUGCUUAUCUGCAUGAUCUACUCACCACACCCGACUUGUUACCGCCUUGUCCCUGUUGGUGAACAUGUCUCACCAAGAGGCUGAGUUCCAAGUGCAGGAAAGUGUCUCUUCAUUUGUAAAAUAAGAACCUCUUUGUCUACCUCACAGAGUUCCAGUGAAGAACAAGUGAGUUCAUGCAUGUAAAGCAAUCAGAACAAUGCUUUGACACAUAAUAAAUACC
RNAcentral lists this long non-coding RNA (938 nucleotides) under Heterocephalus glaber (naked mole-rat). RNAcentral's name for it is "lncRNA (ENSHGLG00100047111.1)". The record is from RNAcentral. Lineage: Eukaryota; Metazoa; Chordata; Mammalia; Rodentia; Bathyergidae.